GUGGGGAAUAUUGGACAAUGGGCGAAAGCCUGAUCCAGCCAUGCCGCGUGUGUGAAGAAGGUCUUCGGAUUGUAAAGCACUUUAAGUUGGGAGGAAGGGCAGUAAGUUAAUACCUUGCUGUUUUGACGUUACCGACAGAAUAAGCACCGGCUAACUUCGUGCCAGCAGCCGCGGUAAUACGAAGGGUGCAAGCGUUAAUCGGAAUUACUGGGCGUAAAGCGCGCGUAGGUGGUUUUGUAAGUUGGAGGUGAAAUCCCCGGGCUCAACCUGGGAACUGCCUCCAGAACUGCAUGACUAGAGUACGGUAGAGGGUAGUGGAAUUUCCUGUGUAGCGGUGAAAUGCGUAGAUAUAGGAAGGAACACCAGUGGCGAAGGCGACUACCUGGACUGAUACUGACACUGAGGUGCGAAAGCGUGGGGAGCAAACAGGAUUAGAUACCCGUGUAGUCC
RNAcentral lists this ribosomal RNA (450 nucleotides) under uncultured bacterium. Its description in RNAcentral is "partial 16S ribosomal RNA". It matches the Rfam family "Bacterial small subunit ribosomal RNA", at positions 354 to 796 of the family's 1533-position model. The record is from RNAcentral.